RNAcentral lists this transfer RNA (63 nucleotides) under Echeneibothrium multiloculatum. RNAcentral's name for it is "tRNA-Thr". Lineage: Eukaryota; Metazoa; Platyhelminthes; Cestoda; Rhinebothriidea; Echeneibothriidae. The record is from RNAcentral.
GGUCUAUUAGUUUAAUUAAAAUGCUGGUUUUGUAGUCCUGUGAUAAUUUUAUAUUAUUGACCU